UACGAAGGGGGCUAGCGUUGCUCGGAAUCACUGGGCGUAAAGCGUGCGUAGGUGGUUUGUUAAGUCUGUUGUGAAAGCCCCGGGCUCAACCUGGGAAUGGCAAUGGAUACUGGCAGGCUAGAGUGCGGUAGAGGGUAGUGGAAUUCCCGGUGUAGCGGUGAAAUGCGUAGAGAUCGGGAGGAACACCAGUGGCGAAGGCGGCUACCUGGACCAGCACUGACACUGGAGGCACGAAAGCGUGGGGAGCAAACAGG
RNAcentral lists this ribosomal RNA (254 nucleotides) under uncultured bacterium. RNAcentral's name for it is "partial 16S ribosomal RNA". It matches the Rfam family "Bacterial small subunit ribosomal RNA", at positions 524 to 776 of the family's 1533-position model. The record is from RNAcentral.